GCCCCAGUGGCGCAAUCGGUUAGCGCACGGUACUUAUAAUGCCGAGGUUGUGAGUUCGAGCCUCACCUGGGGCA
RNAcentral lists this transfer RNA (74 nucleotides) under Procambarus clarkii (red swamp crayfish). Its description in RNAcentral is "transfer RNA isoleucine (anticodon UAU)". It matches the Rfam family "tRNA". Rfam says of the family: Transfer RNA (tRNA) molecules are approximately 80 nucleotides in length. Lineage: Eukaryota; Metazoa; Arthropoda; Malacostraca; Decapoda; Cambaridae. The record is from RNAcentral.